Molecule: small RNA, 228 nt
Filed under: Pan paniscus (pygmy chimpanzee)
Lineage: Eukaryota; Metazoa; Chordata; Mammalia; Primates; Hominidae
Description: Metazoan signal recognition particle RNA (ENSPPAG00000022547.1)
Source: RNAcentral
GCCGGGCGUGUUGGCGCAUGCCUGUAAUCCCAGCUAUUUGGGAGGCUGAGGCAGGAGAAUCACUUGAACCUAGGAGGCAGAGGUUGCAGUGAGCCAAGAUUGUGCCAUUGCACUCCAGCCUGGGCAACAAGAGUGAAACUCCAUCUCAAAAAAAUAAAAAUAAAAAAGAUUGCAGUGGUGCAAUUUCGGCUCACUGCAACCUCUGCCUCCUGGGUUCAAGUGAUUCUU